RNAcentral lists this long non-coding RNA (313 nucleotides) under Androctonus crassicauda. The record is from RNAcentral. Lineage: Eukaryota; Metazoa; Arthropoda; Arachnida; Scorpiones; Buthidae.
AAAAAAUUAUUUUCUAAACUAUUUGUUGUGGAUAAUGAGACUGAUUCUUUCUAUAAUAUUGAAGAAUUAGAUAGGUAUGAAGAUGAGGCUGAAAUUUUAUUGAUGGCAAAGAUAAAUAUCUCAACUACAUCUGAAUUGACACUUCAUCAGAAAUUGGAUGCUGCCAUUUCAAAUGCCACUAGAGUUGAGAAUCCAGAAGAUAUAUCAUAUAAUGUCAAUAAUAUCUCGAAGGAAAUGAAUAAUUUUGAAGCAAUAGGGAAGCACACAAAUAAUUUAGAAAAAUUGUAUAAUGCAGUAUUGACCAUCCACUGAC